UGCCAGCCGCCGCGGUAACACGUAGGGGGCGAGCGUUGUCCGGAUUUAUUGGGCGUAAAGAGCUCGUAGGCUGUUCGGUAAGUCAGGUGUGAAAACCCAGGGCUCAACCCUGGGACGCCACCUGAUACUGCUGUGACUGGAGUCCGGUAGAGGAGCGUGGAAUUCCUGGUGUAGCGGUGAAAUGCGCAGAUAUCAGGAGGAACACCAACGGCGAAGGCAGCGCUCUGGGCCGGUACUGACGCUGAGGAGCGAAAGCAUGGGGAGCGAACAGGAUUAGAUA
Molecule: ribosomal RNA, 280 nt
Filed under: uncultured bacterium
Lineage: Bacteria
Description: partial 16S ribosomal RNA
Rfam family: Bacterial small subunit ribosomal RNA
Source: RNAcentral